GUGAGUAGUGUUAUUAACUCCUUUGCCAAGAGUCCACAACUCUCUAGUGGUAGAAGAGACCUGGGAGAAAAAAUGCAGAUCCAUGAGGGCUUUGUAGCAGGAAUCUUUUAAUUGCAAAUGAUGGAAACACAACUCAAACUGCCUUAACCAAAGGGAGAGUAUAUUGGUUCACAAAACUGGAAAUUCCAUAGCUGUUCCGGCAUGGUUGGGUGCCUGAGUAACAGGAUGUAGGGCUGAUGGUGGAGGAUGUGCUGCAGGCUAGGAAAGAGGGCAGCCAGGAUGACCCAUUGUCAGACGUCCAGACAGUGUCCUCAGGGAUCUGUCCUUGCCUCAGGCUCUCAACCCUGCUAGCAUUAUCUUGACCUCUUUGCCAGAUGACUUACCCCUAUGGUGGCAAGAUGAUCAUCAGCAGCUACUGUAUUACAUCCUUUCCAGCUUCCUCUGCUUUCACAGAGGUUCCAGCAACAAUCCCAGAGCUGCCUCUCAUUGCUCAAAUGGAGUCAUAUGACGCUGCCUAAACCAAUCACUGUAGCCAGGGAGAUGAAGUUUACUGAUGGGCUGAGCCUUGAAGCUGGGGAUGGGGAGUGGACUUAGGGGCAGUUGGGAGGGGACUCCCUAAAGGAAAAUCUGGGUGCUGUUCCUUCAAGAUGAGAGCAUGAGACUGAGAUGACAGUAACCCUGCAGGCCUAGGUGGGAGCUUCCAGUGCCUCUUGUCAUCAUUCUGGUAUGUCCAGGAAGUGGGAGGUGGCACCAAUGUGUAGCCACCCUGCCUGAGCCCACCAGCCUUGGAGUCAGAACACCCUGGGGUAAAUCCUGGCUCAGCUCUUCUCAGCUAUGUGAUCUCGGCCACCACCACUGAGCCAUGUGGUUAUCCCAUCCAGCCUGCCACCACUGGACUGUAUGUACCGCAGUUCUCCUAUCCAGCCCACCACCACUGGACUCUCUCUCCUGUAUGUAAGCCCCAAAUAAAACCUCA
RNAcentral lists this long non-coding RNA (976 nucleotides) under Homo sapiens (human). RNAcentral describes it as "HSALNT0263381". Lineage: Eukaryota; Metazoa; Chordata; Mammalia; Primates; Hominidae. The record is from RNAcentral.